RNAcentral lists this ribosomal RNA (104 nucleotides) under uncultured bacterium. RNAcentral describes it as "partial 16S ribosomal RNA". It matches the Rfam family "Bacterial small subunit ribosomal RNA", at positions 392 to 508 of the family's 1533-position model. The record is from RNAcentral.
CGACGCCGCGUGAGGGAUGACGGCCUUCGGGUUGUAAACCUCUUUCGACCGGGACGAAGCGAGAGUGACGGUACCGGUAUAAGAAGCACCGGCUAACUACGUGC